This 30641-nucleotide long non-coding RNA is filed under the name Chlamydomonas reinhardtii. RNAcentral's name for it is "long non-coding RNA (CREI_LNC000511)". The record is from RNAcentral. Lineage: Eukaryota; Viridiplantae; Chlorophyta; Chlorophyceae; Chlamydomonadales; Chlamydomonadaceae.
GUGCCGCCGCUGCCGGUGAAGCUGCGCCUGCAGGGGACCAUUGCGCUCGGCAAAGACGGCGACCCCAACGCGGAUGCGGCGCAGCUCCCGCCCCAGCAGACGCUUAAAACCGCUGACGACAAGGUGCACGACAUGCAGAUGCAGUACCUGGUCCUGGCGAAGGGCGCUCUGGUGCCCUGGGUGCCGAACCGCCCGAAGCAGUGAGCGGUUGGGACACGCGGUUGACAGCGAGCCGAGCUGCUACCGCGGUCUUCGUACCGCUGCAGCUUUGCGCGCGACGGGUAGCUGCUGGGGUGCCUGGGCCGCGAGGCUGCGGUCGAGCGGCGGGGGCGACCUGCUGCAGGCGUCCGCGGUGGCUGCAACGCGUGGACCUGUCUGUUGGGGAAGUGCCGAGGGCAUGAGGCAUGGCGAGCUUGGACAGUGCGGCACCGUGGCAGGUAUUAAGCUGACACCCAUUGUGUCAUCCGGCGCGGUUUUGGAGUGCGGGCAUGCCAUGUGCGUACCAUUUUAGGCACGUCACGCGACGAGGGCGCUUGAAGAGUGGGGUCGGAGAGUGCGUAGAGCUUUUGAGUGGGAAAGAAUGGGAGAUUCGUUCAUGGGAAAAUGUGGGAGAUGCAUUUCAUAAAUGUGGUGAACAGUUGAGCGUUUGGGCCGCAUUUUGACGAGUUGGCCGGUCUCUGACGCGUGGUAGGAUGGUGGGCGUCACCAAAGUGAGAGGCUGGCGGCCUGUGGCGGUCUCACCGCUGAGAGACAUUGACCAUCGGUGUCUCGGGACUUGUCCAUAACGAUAACGUUUGUAUUGCAUGUACCAUUUCGUGGGGUGUAAGGGUUCACCUCUCCGGCUGGCACCUCGCAGCCAUGUACUCUGGCCUUGUCAUUUUGUAUGGAGUGAACCCAGUCACUGUUGCGCUGCGCAUGCGAUACAUUGCAAUCAUGUGAUGCGUCGGCAAGUGGAAAGUUUGGCAGGGGAUGGAGCGCUGUGUGGACGGAGCAUCCAUGGGGAAGUGUUGGUGUACCUAAAUAUGCAAGUAGCGCAAGGCAAUUCUGUAGCGCCGGCCGCAUUGGCAUGCGCAGCUCUCGAGUGUGGCGUGUGGCACAUUUAAUAAGCCCGCAUUUCACCACAUGCGUUGGUGUUCAUAUCUAGGACGUGCAUGUCGCAAUAGGUCGGCAGGGUACCGGCGUGUCUGGGACUUCAGAGCCUCUGCGGCGAUGCAUCAGUGCUUACCUGCUCCGUUUGAGGGGAAGGGCACAAGACUGGGGGAGGGAGGAGCCCGGAGGAGCACAGGGUCGCGAAGGCGCAGGCUCCCAUGUAUGUAUACGCUGGUCACUCUGUUGUCGAGGGCGCUGUAAGUGUGGGAUGCUACGAUACGAUUUGGCNNNNNNNNNNNNNNNNNNNNNNNNNNNNNNNNNNNNNNNNNNNNNNNNNNNNNNNNNNNNNNNNNNNNNNNNNNNNNNNNNNNNNNNNNNNNNNNNNNNNGCCUCCGUCAGACAGUCCAGGAAGAAGCGCUGGCCCUCGCCCACACUGGCCGCCAGCGCCUCCAGCGCGCCUGGUAGUUGAAGGUGCCGUAGAAGGCCGCGCCGUACUGAAAGGACUUCUUGCGAUUCCACCGGCCCAGGAACAGCAUCAUCAGCGUAUCCGCCAGCUCCACCGAUGUGUUGAAGCCCGGCAGCAGCGUGUGCCAAUGCCGGUGAAAGCCCUCAAGCGCGCUGGUGCCCCGCUUCGAGCGCCACUUGGGGGGCUUCUCAGGGUCCGGCUCCACGUUGAUGUACAUCUCCACGCCGACAGGGUCUGCGCAUACACCGGCCCAUGGGCAUGUGGAAUGUGCAUGAGUAGAUGUGGGAAAUUGAAACCGAAUCAGCAACAAACUGCUACGCGCACUAGCCGUGCAGUAAGCCCAGCCGUGCAGUAAAAACAACCUACUACUGGUACGCCUGAAACCUACCGCUGAGGCGGCCCUCCUUGAUGUGCAGGCGGACACGCUCAAUCGCGUCCAGGGUGUCCGUGUUCAGCAGCCGCGCGCCUGCAUGUUGGAGCAGGCGGGCAGAUGAUGGGCCGCAGUGAGCUUCUCACGCAAUGCGGCGCGGCAAUAGCACCACCACACAGCCAGCGCCAGGAUCACAGCGCACCUGUGCUCAUGUCGAUUUGACGCUCGUACUGAGCCACCACCUUUUCGAAGCGCUCCAGCAGCUCCUUCGGAGGUGGAAUGAAGGACCGGCAUGUGGUGUCGUUGAUGGGCCAGCCCUUGGAUGCCGCCAGCUUCUCAUCCUCCUUGUUCCGCACACGGAAAGCGCCAGCAAUGUCAGCGAUGAACGUCGCUGCAAUCACCAUCAAAGAGCAAGCACACAGUCACCAAAUGGGCACGACCACCCGAUAGAACCACACGUUGACAAUUGCUCAUACCUCGCAGGCUGUGGUCGGAUGGCAGGGUGUCAGUGAUCCGGCGCUCCACGUGGAACAGGUCCUCCUUGAUGCCACCGCCCGGAGGCAUGCCUGGAAAGCAGCGCUCCAGCAGCUUGCCGGUCGUGUGGCUGUUGUCCACGUAGAUCAUGCCGAGUUGGCUCUGCACGGGGUAACACACGCAAUUGCAAGUUGUUCAGCACGCAUAUUCUGAGGCACGGCUUAUGUGGCUGCUGCAGCGAAGCCAAGCAGCUUUUACCAGGUCAAGGAGUCACCCGUUACUGCGUACCUUCUUCAGAGACAGGUUACGCUGUGCCAGCCGGCGCAGCGCAUCCUCAAGCUCCAGCAGCCCACCACCACCGAGGUACAAGCCCACAAUCUCGCCUCGUUCGUUCAUAACAGUUGUAGACUCCUUGAACGCGCGCUCACCGUCUGUAGUCCGCACCUUUUUGGCGUUUUUGAAGGCGCCAUCAAUGCGCAGAACCUCAAAGGGCAGCGACUGCAUGUGCUGUUCUGCUGCCGCCACUUCACCCCGCACAGCGACAAGGAAGCACUUGAUUGCGUACUGCACGCUCAGCAGCGCGCCACCGUACAGGCCGUCUUCAAAGCGGGGGAAAGGCAGCACCUGCAGGUAAAGAAAUGUCAGACGGCGGGAUUGCAGAAGAGGGGGCGAGCGAUGCUGGGGUCCCGUCAACCCUGCUCACCUUGCUUCCAGAACCCGGGGCAGCCGCCUCUGCGUCCUCCUGUAUUCACAAGGUGCGGCGUAGCACUGAUCAUACUGCAGGCAGGGCUAACAAGACGGGCGGCCUGUUGAUACUAACAGGGCGGCCUGGUGAUACUAAGAAGACAGCCAUGCACAUACCUCAACGUCGGUUCUGUCCCCAUCCUCAUCCGGGUCCAGGCCUGCUCUGCCGCCUGCGCUGGCGCCUGCUCUGCCGCCUGCUCUGCCGCCUGCGCUGGCGCCUGCUCUGCCGCCUGCGCUGCCACCUGCGCUGCCACCUGCGCUGCCGCCUGCGCUGCCGCCUGCGCUGCUGCCUGCGCUGCCGCCUGUGCUGCCACCCACGACGUCGCCUGCUGUGCUGCCGCCCGCAGGCUGAAAAAAGUCGCGUAUGGUGCGCCCCCUCUUCAGCAUCAAGUACUCCAGCUCCGUCAUCUUAUGCACCAUAUGCGCCUUCUCGUUGACCAUGUCGCAGAUGCUGCUGAAGCUGGUGCCCUGGGGCGGCAUGACCGACAGCGUGCGCACGACCCGCCACGUGAGCCCACUCUGCCGAGUUAGCACGCCGGGGAGUUUCAGCUGCACGUACCCCGGCAGCUGCGAGACGAUCUCCGGGUCGCACAUUUGGAAGUGUUUGGCGUCAGUGCAGACUGCAUGGCAGGGGAAGGGGGCCAGCGGUUUCUCAGCUGUCGAUCGUCGCCGCAUGUCGGGUGACAUGUCGUUGCGCACGCCGAGAACGUCGCGAGGUGCGUGGCACAGCGUAAUGUUGCACUUGCAAUUGUAUACCACUCACUCUUGCAUUUUGCUUGACUGCAAAAAACCCACACGUCCUCCUCCCCGUCGCCGAUGAGCUUCUUGACGUCCAUCGCCCAGCCCCAGUACACGCAGUUGGCCUUCGUGCACGUUGGGCACUUUGGCCGCCAUGUUGAGUUGCAAAGGCGCUUAGGGUCCCAGAGGAUGAGCUGCGUGCGCGAGCACACAGUCUGGACAAGCCGCUCGCACUCGCUGCCCUGGAAGCGCGGGUCCGAAGGGCUGGCAAAGCGGAUUUCGUAUGGUAGUGGGAGGUUUACGUUCUUGUCGUCGCAGUAAUCCUUGAUAGCAAGCGCGAUCCUAUAGAGAAUGUCAGCCUUGUUUAAAUGAGUGAACUCGAGGCGCUUCAAGACGACCGUGUCAGUGUGCAGCUCAAAUUCUACGGAUGUUUUCAAGCCGUUGCCGCUAGCGUGGUACUUGAUAGUGUGGGGAGUGCUGUUCGGUACCGUGGUCCAGGUUGUGGCUUGGUCUUUCUUUGCUUUUUUGCGCACAGGCUCAGACAUAUUGAUAAGAAAGCAUUUCACUUAUCGAUGUGUAUUUGUAGCAGCGACUAUGGGCCCUUCCUGAGCACCCCGAAUUAGCGCACCGAAUUAGCGCUAAUUCGACCCCAUGCGCCCCCCCAGACAGCCGGACCACUUCACGCAAUCUUGCCGGGGUGCCUCGAUUGAAGCCCCGCGCUUCAGCUGUUGCUUACUUUGCAUUGCUGUUAACCGUCACAUUGUGUCGUGGUAAUUCAGCGUCCACUCUCCAGCACCUGUUACGAAUCCUAUCGGCGCCUACUUUGCGAUUUGGCCCGUGUUCGCAAGGCAUAUCAGUAAAGCCACAUGCAUAGCUGCACCUAGAUCGCACGCUGCUGCGGCGGAGCAGCGAGCAAGAAACCUUACGUUGCUCUUGGACCCGGCGAGCCCACGAGGCGCCGCUGCACGAUGCAGCGAGCGGCGGCGGUGCCUUCUGCGAGGGGCAGCAUGCAUGGCGGAGGCCGAGGCGGUGGCGGCGCAGGUGAGGCGUUUUGACGCGAAGGGGAAGGGGUGCUGAUGGCUGGAACUCUCGCCUCCGGGGCGGACAAGCUUGCCUGACCUGCGUGCAAAUGGCGUAGGAUGGCGCAAGGUGACUUUGGCCUCACAUCAAUAUUUUGGCCUAGGCGAUGGGGCCGACUACCCCGCCCACAGGUUUUCUUCGUGCAGUCGCGUCCACGGCACUCGGCGCGCAAAAUCUGGCGUCACUCCUUGGACGCCGAGCCUCUGUGGUGGCAGUGCAUGCAGACGGGGCUGGUGGGACCACGGGCCGGGUGCCAUUCAGACGCCGGAAACCGCGGCCGGACCCACUGCAAAGGCUGAUGCUGCGGAAGCUGCGGGACAUCCAGAACGACGUGCGCGGCAUCCAGAACGACGUGCGCGGCAUCCAGCAGAAGCAGGAUGGAUUCGCUGAGACACAGAGCAUCAUCGUCGAGUCGCUCGUGGGCAGCGAGCUCAGUGAGCGCGACCCGCCGGACGUGGACAGCAGCAAAGCGCGCAGAGCCGUCAAGCUGCAGUCUGCGGACAGCGUUGUGGCCUGUGUGGUGCCGCAAGAGCUCCCGCCGCGCCUGCUGCACGAGGACGCACCUGCGCAGCUCACGGCGUGGCUCAUGGAGGAUCGGGUGAGCGGCGUGAUGAGUGGGGGCUACCGUUUGUUACCGUUUGUUCCAGCGUCUUGACCUGCCAACGCAUAGGCCAGCUCUGACGUGUCAAAAUGGACCCUGACUUGUCUUCUGCCGCCGCCGCUUGUGUAGGGCCGAGGCAUCCGCGCUAUCCUGCGGUCGUGUCUGCGUGCGGUGCCUUCCCUGCUCGGGGCGGUGGCGGGGAGUGCAGAGGACAAGGCGGCGGCUGCGACUGAAGCUGAGGUGAGAGCUUGCCGCUAUUACGUAUGGCGGCUGGCGGCGUCAACUGCUCCAACAGCAACGGCAGACAGGACGUGCUACCGUACGUGCGAUUUUACACUGUUCGCAGGUGGCGCUGACAGAGCUCGAGAAGGCUGGGGCUGGCCAAAAGGAGCUGCGAGCCGCCUGUGACGCGCUCAAGUGCUGCGCGGCGCGGCUGCCGGUCUCCUUGAAGCUGCUCGAGGACUGCGUCAAGGACCCGAAGAAAGCCGAGGAGCUGCUGCGCGGUGAGCUGUGCAUCGCGGCGCUGACGUCGCUGCACCCGGUCAGCGGCACGGCCUCAUCGACGGCCAAAGAGCUGGAGAUCGACCGCCUGCUGCCGCUACGGUUGCUUCCGGCGGCUGACGGCGCCAACGGCACCAGCAACAACGGUGGCAUCGCCAUCCUGGAGGUGCAGGAGAUCAAGUCGUCCACCGCUGGUGAGUGAAGUGCCGACAGACAUGGCACCAGACGGGGUGGUCGGGACACGGCAUUCAAACUGGUUGGCAUGGGCGGCGAGGAUUUCCAAGGCGUCAUGUUACCUGCUGCGUUGAGGUGUCUGGGAGCCUCUGUGCCGCGGUCCAUGUAUUGACCGGGAUCAGGCCGCACUCCACGACCUCUGCUCAUGCGCAGGUCUACCCACGGGGGGUGACCAGGCGGCCCGCCUGGGCUCCGUUCUGGGGUGCUCCUACGGUGUGCUGCAAGAGCGGCUCCAGCACGCGGCGGCAGGCGCUGUGCCGCCGCUGCCGGUGAAGCUGCGCCUGCAGGGGACCAUUGCGCUCGGCAAAGACGGCGACCCCAACGCGGAUGCGGCGCAGCUCCCGCCCCAGCAGACGCUUAAAACCGCUGACGACAAGGUGCACGACAUGCAGAUGCAGUACCUGGUCCUGGCGAAGGGCGCUCUGGUGCCCUGGGUGCCGAGCCGCCCGAAGCAGUGAGCGGUCGGGACACGCGGUUGACAGCGAGCCGAGCUGCUACCGCGGUCUUCGUACCGCUGCAGCUUUGCGCGCGACGGGUAGCUGCUGGGGUGCCCGGGCCGCGAGGCUGCGGUCGAGCGGCGGGGGCGACCUGCUGCAGGCGUCCGCGGUGGCUGCAACGCGUGGACCUGUCUGUUGGGGAAGUGCCGAGGGCAUGAGGCAUGGCGAGCUUGGACAGUGCGGCACCGUGGCAGGUAUUAAGCUGACACCCAUUGUGUCAUCCGGCGCGGUUUUGGAGUGCGGGCAUGCCAUGUGCGUACCAUUUUAGGCACGUCACGCGACGAGGGCGCUUGAAGAGUGGGGUCGGAGAGUGCGUAGAGCUUUUGAGUGGGAAAGAAUGGGAGAUUCGUUCAUGGGAAAAUGUGGGAGAUGCAUUUCAUAAAUGUGGUGAACAGUUGAGCGUUUGGGCCGCAUUUUGACGAGUUGGCCGGUCUCUGACGCGUGGUAGGAUGGUGGGCGUCACCAAAGUGAGAGGCUGGCGGCCUGUGGCGGUCUCACCGCUGAGAGACAUUGACCAUCGGUGUCUCGGGACUUGUCCAUAACGAUAACGUUUGUAUUGCAUGUACCAUUUCGUGGGGUGUAAGGGUUCACCUCUCCGGCUGGCACCUCGCAGCCAUGUACUCUGGCCUUGUCAUUUUGUAUGGAGUGAACCCAGUCACUGUUGCGCUGCGCAUGCGAUACAUUGCAAUCAUGUGAUGCGUCGGCAAGUGGAAAGUUUGGCAGGGGAUGGAGCGCUGUGUGGACGGAGCAUCCAUGGGGAAGUGUUGGUGUACCUAAAUAUGCAAGUAGCGCAAGGCAAUUCUGUAGCGCCGGCCGCAUUGGCAUGCGCAGCUCUCGAGUGUGGCGUGUGGCACAUUUAAUAAGCCCGCAUUUCACCACAUGCGUUGGUGUUCAUAUCUAGGACGUGCAUGUCGCAAUAGGUCGGCAGGGUACCGGCGUGUCUGGGACUUCAGAGCCUCUGCGGCGAUGCAUCAGUGCUUACCUGCUCCGUUUGAGGGGAAGGGCACAAGACUGGGGGAGGGAGGAGCCCGGAGGAGCACAGGGUCGCGAAGGCGCAGGCUCCCAUGUAUGUAUACGCUGGUCACUCUGUUGUCGAGGGCGCUGUAAGUGUGGGAUGCUACGAUACGAUUUGGCCACAUCCGCAGUUGCCAGAGCCACGUGAAAUGCCUCCCCGGCAUCGCCAGCACAAACAAGCUCCCAACGCCAGCCGCCUCGUGCGCACCGCAAUGACACGUCACCCACACUGGCCUGAAGCACUCGUGUCGACAGCAUAAUAGGCUGUUCUCGGAGCUUUCUGGAGCGUAAGGGCCGCGCGUCAGCUCCAAUCCAGCCACCAGCACAGCGCGGCCACUUGUGUACUGUGCAGAAAUGUCAGCCGCGCACGAACCAAUGCUCGCGCCACAUGCCCUCAAUUGAGUUGCUGGCACAGGUUUGGGCGUCACACGCACUACGGGACGAUGACGACACCUUGCCCCUUUGCAGUGUACCAUCUCAAUCAUUGGGGUUUGGGGGGUUUCCCUGCCGGCUGGGACUACUGCCGCUGCUGGUUGAGCUGCGGCUGGCGCACCGGCCGGCGGGGCGGCCGCCGGCGGCGGCGGCCUGGCUGCUACUGCCGUGACGGGCGCUGCCGACCUCGCUGGAGCAACUUGAACUUGAGGGCCCGGAGCUGUGGACAUGAGGCUACAGCCGCAGGCUGCGAGCCGCAGUGGUCACGAGAAGGCGGCAGAGAUGCUGCUACUGCCGCGGCUGCGGCGUCGGCUCCAGAGCGGCGUGCCGUACUGUCAGGCGCAGGUGAUGCAGGUACGGGUGCCGUGCGCGAGGGGGGUUGCGACUUCAGUGCAGUAUGCGGCAGGUUUCCAUUACUCAUCAGCGAUGGACGCUUGGAUACAGGGUAUAAGGCUUGGUGUGUAGACCUUACUGGCAUGAGCAUGGCGUACUGACACAAUCUGGGCACUAUGGCUUCGACGUGUCCAUCAGCGUACAACAGUACCAGGUGCGCCAGCCCGGCGCUGACACAUACACAGUCUCGCUUCCUCUCAUGCCCCUGGACCAAAGUGACAUCAGCCCUCAUUGCACCCUGCAACUGCGCAAGCCGACACCUUGGUCAAGCACACACUCGAACGCCCCUCCCUCAACAUCCCCCACAAUGCGCGAUGCUAUCCUCAAUUCCUCAUGCACACGAGCACUCCUCUCAAUGCGUGCACCCACUGCAAGUUCAAAUCCCAUCAGCCGUACACCUGAAAGAGCGCGCGUCACGGGCUACUCGACAAUCCAGGCCAAUCCAUUACUUCAGAAGCGGUCCUUGGCCGCGCGGAUGGCGCCAAACACCUGCCAGUCGGGCGCGGCGGCGUCAAAGCCCAGCUGCUGGCGAAUGGCUGGGUCGUGGGGGCGCAGGAAGGGGUUGGUCGCCUUCUCAUCACCCAGGCGGCUAUGCACGGUGGGCUCGCCCUGGAGGGGGGGAGGAGGACGGGAAGCGGGGAGGGCGGGGAGGGUGGGGAGUGGGGAGGUUGGCACACGGGCACGGCUGGGAGCGUAGUUCAAGUACAGGCGGAGGCAAAGAAGGGGGCAGGGGCAGAAUACACGGCAGAGCCCGUGGUAAAGACAGACACGAGGGGCGAAGGGCUCGCAUUAGAGCCGGCACGGCUGCCGCAAUCAGCGGCAAGCGCGCUGUGCCCUCGCCCCUCCUGUGGCAACCCGCUGCCCCCACGCACCCGCGCCCGCGCCGCGUCAAUAGCCGCCUUGCCCUCCGCCAGCGCGCUGUUGGCCGGGUCCACCGUCACCGCGAACCUGAGGAUGUGCAUGAGGCGCGGGAGCGGGGAGGCAGGAGUGGGGUGGAUGGGGGUGCAAACGUAAGUUACUCUGGUAUUCAGUGACCCUUGCCACUCCUACCACUCACAUGCACCCAUGCCCCCCUGGUGUUGUUUCUUGGGAUUGGGCAUAUACCCCCCUCCCCCAGGUUCCGGCCACUCCUCCUCCUCGCUCGGGCUGGCUGGUUCGGGUUCGAGUCUCUGUUUUUUUGCUUGGGUUUGGAGCAAACUACCCCCUCCCCCAAGACCACCAAGACCUUGCACCCAGGCCCUCCUAAAUAGUGCCGUGCCCCCGGGGAGGCGUGCUGUCGGUUGUCCCCUUGCCGCACUUGUUACGCCUGUCCCUCGUCGCAAGCAUCAUUCCUAGGGUACCGACCUACUGCGGGGAUUGCUCUGGGCGUGGCGUAUCCGCAACCUUCUGUGGGCGUCGCAACAACGCAUACCUGGGCUGCCGGCAUGCGUGGGAGCCGUUCGCGGCCCGCGGCCGGCGCACCCGUCCGCACCCCUCUCCGCACCUGUCACCACCCCGGCUGGGAAGUAACCGCCCAUGCGAUGCCCAUGCGAUGCCGAUGCCCCGCCUACUUCGGGCAAACCUCGCCCUUGCCCCCUCUCUUUGUUUCCCAGGCUCGCGCGCGCUAGACACUAGUUUGGCUUCGACCACUUGCACAUCCUUCCUGCAGUUGCUCACAAGUGUUGGCCCUCCCUCCCACAUGUCGCCUUCAUGCCGGCGCUUCCAACCUGGCACCGGUACCGCUCUGGUUCGUCACAGGUGGGUAUCGUUGCGGUUCGCGUGCAUUAGCUAGCGGGCUGGGUUCACCGCGCCGCGAGCCUGGGUGUUACUUGAUGGUAAGCGAGUUGGCGAUUUCCGGCCUACCGUCUACGGCCUACACCAUUCAGAUGCACGAGACUGAAGGGCGACCAAGAUAAAUGUUAACGCCACUCCUCCUCCUCGCUCGGGUUGGCUGGUUUUGGUUUGGGUCUCUGGUUUUUUGCUUGGGUUUGGAAUGAUCUACCCCCAUCCCCCCCUACACCUCCUGGUCAUAACGCAUCGGUAUGGUACCUACGUUCGCAACGCCUGUACUACGUCUCCUUCGUCCUAAUUAAUCAUGCAUGGAACCCCCCCCCCACACACACAUAUACACCCACCUGGCGUUGGACUGGGUGUACUCGUACGCGCAGUAGACCAGCGUGUCGUCCGGCAGCGGCGUCAGCUGGCUGAGCGAGGCCCACAUCUGCUGCGGGCUGCCCUCGAACAGCCGCCCGCAGCCCAGCGCGAACAGCGUGUCAGCGAGGCUCGCGCGCGCUCGCACACGCACCUCAGCUUGCGCUGCAUCGCGUCCGCCCACGCGCGCGCCUCCGCCAGCCGCCGCAGGUGCCACCGCCGCCGCAGCGCGCGCUGGAUGGUCCUCGCCGCCUGCUGCCGCCGGAUGGCGUCCAGCAGCGCGAUGUCCGCGCGCGUGAGCCCCAGCUGCCCCAGCCGCAGCAGCCGUCCCACCCAGCCGCCGGCACCCGCCUCCCAGGCGAGGAGCCGCCCCUGCCCCCGCCGCCGCCGCCACUCACAGCACUGGCGCUGGUCCCCGGCCGGCUAACCGCACCUGCCCCCGCCGCCGCUGCCACCCGGCCCAGGCCCCAACCCGAGGCCGGAGCCCACCAGGCCGCUCAGCGCCACGCCCGCCGCCACGUCAGCCAGCGUCAGGCCCGCCACCUCCGCCGCCUCCGUCAGACAGUCCAGGAAGAAGCGCUGGCCCUCGCCCACACUGGCCGCCAGCGCCUCCAGCGCGCCUGGUAGUUGAAGGUGCCGUAGAAGGCCGCGCCGUACUGAAAGGACUUCUUGCGAUUCCACCGGCCCAGGAACAGCAUCAUCAGCGUAUCCGCCAGCUCCACCGAUGUGUUGAAGCCCGGCAGCAGCGUGUGCCAAUGCCGGUGAAAGCCCUCAAGCGCGCUGGUGCCCCGCUUCGAGCGCCACUUGGGGGGCUUCUCAGGGUCCGGCUCCACGUUGAUGUACAUCUCCACGCCGACAGGGUCUGCGCAUACACCGGCCCAUGGGCAUGUGGAAUGUGCAUGAGUAGAUGUGGGAAAUUGAAACCGAAUCAGCAACAAACUGCUACGCGCACUAGCCGUGCAGUAAGCCCAGCCGUGCAGUAAAAACAACCUACUACUGGUACGCCUGAAACCUACCGCUGAGGCGGCCCUCCUUGAUGUGCAGGCGGACACGCUCAAUCGCGUCCAGGGUGUCCGUGUUCAGCAGCCGCGCGCCUGCAUGUUGGAGCAGGCGGGCAGAUGAUGGGCCGCAGUGAGCUUCUCACGCAAUGCGGCGCGGCAAUAGCACCACCACACAGCCAGCGCCAGGAUCACAGCGCACCUGUGUUCAUGUCGAUUUGACGCUCGUACUGAGCCACCGACUGCAUGUGCUGUUCUGCUGCCGCCACUUCACCCCGCACAGCGACAAGGAAGCACUUGAUUGCGUACUGCACGCUCAGCAGCGCGCCACCGUACAGGCCGUCUUCAAAGCGGGGGAAAGGCAGCACCUGCAGGUAAAGAAAUGUCAGACGGCGGGCUUGCAGAAGAGGGGGCGAGCGAUGCUGGGGUCCCGUCAACCCUGCUCACCUUGCUUCCAGAACCCGGGGCAGCCGCCUCUGCGUCCUCCUGUAUUCACAAGGUGCGGCGUAGCACUGAUCAUACUGCAGGCAGGGCUAACAAGACGGGCGGCCUGUUGAUACUAACAGGGCGGCCUGGUGAUACUAAGAAGACAGCCAUGCACAUACCUCAACGUCGGUUCUGUCCCCAUCCUCAUCCGGGUCCAGGCCUGCUCUGCCGCCUGCGCUGGCGCCUGCUCUGCCGCCUGCUCUGCCGCCUGCGCUGGCGCCUGCUCUGCCGCCUGCGCUGCCACCUGCGCUGCCACCUGCGCUGCCGCCUGCGCUGCCGCCUGCGCUGCCGCCUGCGCUGCUGCCUGCGCUGCCGCCUGUGCUGCCACCCACGACGUCGCCUGCUGUGCUGCCGCCCGCAGGCUGAAAAAAGUCGCGUAUGGUGCGCCCCCUCUUCAGCAUCAAGUACUCCAGCUCCGUCAUCUUAUGCACCAUAUGCGCCUUCUCGUUGACCAUGUCGCAGAUGCUGCUGAAGCUGGUGCCCUGGGGCGGCAUGACCGACAGCGUGCGCAUGACCCGCCACGUGAGCCCACUCUGCCGAGUUAGCACGCCGGGGAGUUUCAGCUGCACGUACCCCGGCAGCUGCGAGACGAUCUCCGGGUCGCACAUUUGGAAGUGUUUGGCGUCAGUGCAGACUGCAUGGCAGGGGAAGGGGGCCAGCGGUUUCUCAGCUGUCGAUCGUCGCCGCAUGUCGGGUGACAUGUCGUUGCGCACGCCGAGAACGUCGCGAGGUGCGUGGCACAGCGUAAUGUUGCACUUGCAAUUGUAUACCACUCACUCUUGCAUUUUGCUUGACUGCAAAAAAACCACACGUCCUCCUCCCCGUCGCCGAUGAGCUUCUUGACGUCCAUCGCCCAGCCCCAGUACACGCAGUUGGCCUUCGUGCACGUUGGGCACUUUGGCCGCCAUGUUGAGUUGCAAAGGCGCUUAGGGUCCCAGAGGAUGAGCUGCGUGCGCGAGCACACAGUCUGGACAAGCCGCUCGCACUCGCUGCCCUGGAAGCGCGGGUCCGAAGGGCUGGCAAAGCGGAUUUCGUAUGGUAGUGGGAGGUUUACGUUCUUGUCGUCGCAGUAAUCCUUGAUAGCAAGCGCGAUCCUAUAGAGAAUGUCAGCCUUGUUUAAAUGAGUGAACUCGAGGCGCUUCAAGACGACCGUGUCAGUGUGCAGCUCAAAUUCUACGGAUGUUUUCAAGCCGUUGCCGCUAGCGUGGUACUUGAUAGUGUGGGGAGUGCUGUUCGGUACCGUGGUCCAGGUUGUGGCUUGGUCUUUCUUUGCUUUUUUGCGCACAGGCUCAGACAUAUUGAUAAGAAAGCAUUUCACUUAUCGAUGUGUAUUUGUAGCAGCGACUAUGGGCCCUUCCUGAGCACCCCGAAUUAGCGCACCGAAUUAGCGCUAAUUCGACCUCAUGCGCCCCCCCAGACAGCGGACAAAAUCUUGCCGGGGUGCCUCGAUUGAAGCCCCGCGCUUCAGCUGUUGCUUACUUUGCAUUGCUGUUAACCGUCACAUUGUGUCGUGGUAAUUCAGCGUCCACUCUCCAGCACCUGUUACGAAUCCUAUCGGCGCCUACUUUGCGAUUUGGCCCGUGUUCGCAAGGCAUAUCAGUAAAGCCACAUGCAUAGCUGCACCUAGAUCGCACGCUGCUGCGGCGGAGCAGCGAGCAAGAAACCUUACGUUGCUCUUGGACCCGGAGAGCCCACGAGGCGCCGCUGCACGAUGCAGCGAGCGGCGGCGGUGCCUUCUGCGAGGGGCAGCAUGCAUGGCGGAGGCCGAGGCGGUGGCGGCGCAGGUGAGGCGUUUUGACGCGAAGGGGAAGGGGUGCUGAUGGCUGGAACUCUCGCCUCCGGGGCGGACAAGCUUGCCUGACCUGCGUGCAAAUGGCGUAGGAUGGCGCAAGGUGACUUUGGCCUCACAUCAAUAUUUUGGCCUGGGCGAUGGGGCCGACUACCCCGCCCACAGGUUUUCUUCGUGCAGUCGCGUCCACGGCACUCGGCGCGCAAAAUCUGGCGUCACUCCUUGGACGCCGAGCCUCUGUGGUGGCAGUGCAUGCAGACGGGGCUGGUGGGACCACGGGCCGGGUGCCAUUCAGACGCCGGAAACCGCGGCCGGACCCACUGCAAAGGCUGAUGCUGCGGAAGCUGCGGGACAUCCAGAACGACGUGCGCGGCAUCCAGAACCACGUGCGCGGCAUCCAGAACCGCGUGCGCGGCAUCCAGCAGAAGCAGGAUGGAUUCGCUGAGACACAGAGCAUCAUCGUCGAGUCGCUCGUGGGCAGCGAGCUCAGUGAGCGCGACCCGCCGGACGUGGACAGCAGCAAAGCGCGCAGAGCCGUCAAGCUGCAGUCUGCGGACAGCGUUGUGGCCUGUGUGGUGCCGCAAGAGCUCCCGCCGCGCCUGCUGCACGAGGACGCACCUGCGCAGCUCACGGCGUGGCUCAUGGAGGAUCGGGUGAGCGGCGUGAUGAGUGGGGGCUACCGUUUGUUACCGUUUGUUCCAGCGUCUUGACCUGCCAACGCAUAGGCCAGCUCUGACGUGUCAAAAUGGACCCUGACUUGUCUUCUGCCGCCGCCGCUUGUGUAGGGCCGAGGCAUCCGCGCUAUCCUGCGGUCGUGUCUGCGUGCGGUGCCUUCCCUGCUCGGGGCGGUGGCGGGGAGUGCAGAGGACAAGGCGGCGGCUGCGACUGAAGCUGAGGUGAGAGCUUGCCGCUAUUACGUAUGGCGGCUGGCGGCGUCAACUGCUCCAACAGCAACGGCAGACAGGACGUGCUACCGUACGUGCGAUUUUACACUGUUCGCAGGUGGCGCUGACAGAGCUCGAGAAGGCUGGGGCUGGCCAAAAGGAGCUGCGAGCCGCCUGUGACGCGCUCAAGUGCUGCGCGGCGCGGCUGCCGGUCUCCUUGAAGCUGCUCGAGGACUGCGUCAAGGACCCGAAGAAAGCCGAGGAGCUGCUGCGCGGUGAGCUGUGCAUCGCGGCGCUGACGUCGCUGCACCCGGUCAGCGGCACGGCCUCAUCGACGGCCAAAGAGCUGGAGAUCGACCGCCUGCUGCCGCUACGGUUGCUUCCGGCGGCUGACGGCGCCAACGGCACCAGCAACAACGGUGGCAUCGCCAUCCUGGAGGUGCAGGAGAUCAAGUCGUCCACCGCUGGUGAGUGAAGUGCCGACAGACAUGGCACCAGACGGGGUGGUCGGGACACGGCAUUCAAACUGGUUGGCAUGGGCGGCGAGGAUUUCCAAGGCGUCAUGUUACCUGCUGCGUUGAGGUGUCUGGGAGCCUCUGUGCCGCGGUCCAUGUAUUGACCGGGAUCAGGCCGCACUCCACGACCUCUGCUCAUGCGCAGGUCUACCCACGGGGCGUGACCAGGCGGCCCGCCUGGGCUCCGUUCUGGGGUGCUCCUACGGUGUGCUGCAAGAGCGGCUCCAGCACGCGGCGGCAGGCGCUGUGCCGCCGCUGCCGGUGAAGCUGCGCCUGCAGGGGACCAUUGCGCUCGGCAAAGACGGCGACCCCAACGCGGAUGCGGCGCAGCUCCCGCCCCAGCAGACGCUUAAAACCGCUGACGACAAGGUGCACGACAUGCAGAUGCAGUACCUGGUCCUGGCGAAGGGCGCUCUGGUGCCCUGGGUGCCGAGCCGCCCGAAGCAGUGAGCGGUCGAGACACGCGGUUGACAGCGAGCCGAGCUGCUACCGCGGUCUUCGUACCGCUGCAGCUUUGCGCGCGACGGGUAGCUGCUGGGGUGCCCGGGCCGCGAGGCUGCGGUCGAACGGCGGGGGCGACCAGCUGCAGGCGUCCGCGGUGGCUGCAACGCGUGGACCUGUCUGUUGGGGAAGUGCCGAGGGCAUGAGGCAUGGCGAGCUUGGACAGUGCGGCACCGUGGCAGGUAUUAAGCUGACACCCAUUGUGUCAUCCGGCGCGGUUUUGGAGUGCGGGCAUGCCAUGUGCGUACCAUUUUAGGCACGUCACGCGACGAGGGCGCUUGAAGAGUGGGGUCGGAGAGUGCGUAGAGCUUUUGAGUGGGAAAGAAUGGGAGAUUCGUUCAUGGGAAAAUGUGGGAGAUGCAUUUCAUAAAUGUGGUGAACAGUUGAGCCGUUGGGCCGCAUUUUGACGAGUUGGCCGGUCUCUGACGCGUGGUAGGAUGGUGGGCGUCACCAAAGUGAGAGGCUGGCGGCCUGUGGCGGUCUCACCGCUGAGAGACAUUGACCAUCGGUGUCUCGGGACUUGUCCAUAACGAUAACGUUUGUAUUGCAUGUACCAUUUCGUGGGGUGUAAGGGUUCACCUCUCCGGCUGGCACCUCGCAGCCAUGUACUCUGGCCUUGUCAUUUUGUAUGGAGUGAACCCAGUCACUGUUGCGCUGCGCAUGCGAUACAUUGCAAUCAUGUGAUGCGUCGGCAAGUGGAAAGUUUGGCAGGGGAUGGAGCGCUGUGUGGACGGAGCAUCCAUGGGGAAGUGUUGGUGUACCUAAAUAUGCAAGUAGCGCAAGGCAAUUCUGUAGCGCCGGCCGCAUUGGCAUGCGCAGCUCUCGAGUGUGGCGUGUGGCACAUUUAAUAAGCCCGCAUUUCACCACAUGCGUUGGUGUUCAUAUCUAGGACGUGCAUGUCGCAAUAGGUCGGCAGGGUACCGGCGUGUCUGGGACUUCAGAGCCUCUGCGGCGAUGCAUCAGUGCUUACCUGCUCCGUUUGAGGGGAAGGGCACAAGACUGGGGGAGGGAGGAGCCCGGAGGAGCACAGGGUCGCGAAGGCGCAGGCUCCCAUGUAUGUAUACGCUGGUCACUCUGUUGUCGAGGGCGCUGUAAGUGUGGGAUGCUACGAUACGAUUUGGCCACGUCCGCAGUUGCCAGAGCCACGUGAAAUGCCUCCCCGGCAUCGCCAGCACAAACAAGCUCCCAACGCCAGCCGCCUCGUGCGCACCGCAAUGACACGUCACCCACACUGGCCUGAAGUACUCGUGUCGACAGCAUAAUAGGCUGUUCUCGGAGCUUUCCGGAGCGUAAGGGCCGCGCGUCAGCUCCAAUCCAGCCACCAGCACAGCGCGGCCACUUGUGUACCGUGCAGAAAUGUCAGCCGCGCACGAACCAAUGCUCGCGCCACAUGCCCUCAAUUGAGUUGCUGGCACAGGUUUGGGCGUCACACGCACUACGGGACGAUGACGACACCUUGCCCCUUUGCAGUGUACCAUCUCAAUCAUUGGGGUUUGGGGGGUUUCCCUGCCGGCUGGGACUACUGCCGCUGCUGGUUGAGCUGCGGCUGGCGCACCGGCCGGCGGGGCGGCCGCCGGCGGCGGCGGCCUGGCUGCUACUGCCGUGACGGGCGCUGCCGACCUCGCUGGAGCAACUUGAACUUGAGGGCCCGGAGCUGUGGACAUGAGGCUACAGCCGCAGGCUGCGAGCCGCAGUGGUCACGAGAAGGCGGCAGAGAUGCUGCUACUGCCGCGGCUGCGGCGUCGGCUCCAGAGCGGCGUGCCGUACUGUCAGGCGCAGGUGAUGCAGGUACGGGUGCCGUGCGCGAGGGGGGUUGCGACUUCAGUGCAGUAUGCGGCAGGUUUCCAUUACUCAUCAGCGAUGGACGCUUGGAUACAGGGUAUAAGGCUUGGUGUGUAGACCUUACUGGCAUGAGCAUGGCGUACUGACACAAUCUGGGCACUAUGGCUUCGACGUGUCCAUCAGCGUACAACAGUACCAGGUGCGCCAGCCCGGCGCUGACACAUACACAGUCUCGCUUCCUCUCAUGCCCCUGGACCAAAGUGACAUCAGCCCUCAUUGCACCCUGCAACUGCGCAAGCCGACACCUUGGUCAAGCACACACUCGAACGCCCCUCCCUCAACAUCCCCCACAAUGCGCGAUGCUAUCCUCAAUUCCUCAUGCUCACGAGCACUCCUCUCAAUGCGUGCACCCACUGCAAGUUCAAAUCCCAUCAGCCGUACACCUGAAAGAGCGCGCGUCACGGGCUACUCGACAAUCCAGGCCAAUCCAUUACUUCAGAAGCGGUCCUUGGCCGCGCGGAUGGCGCCAAACACCUGCCAGUCGGGCGCGGCGGCGUCAAAGCCCAGCUGCUGGCGAAUGGCUGGGUCGUGGGGGCGCAGGAAGGGGUUGGUCGCCUUCUCAUCACCCAGGCGGCUAUGCACGGUGGGCUCGCCCUGGAGGGGGGGAGGAGGACGGGAAGCGGGGAGGGCGGGGAGGGUGGGGAGUGGGGAGGUUGGCACACGGGCACGGCUGGGAGCGUAGUUCAAGUACAGGCGGAGGCAAAGAAGGGGGCAGGGGCAGAAUACACGGCAGAGCCCGUGGUAAAGACAGACGCGAGGGGCGAAGGGCUCGCAUUAGAGCCGGCACGGCUGCCGCAAUCAGCGGCAAGCGCGCUGUGCCCUCGCCCCUCCUGUGGCAACCCGCUGCCCCCACGCACCCGCGCCCGCGCCGCGUCAAUAGCCGCCUUGCGCUCCGCCAGCGCGCUGUUGGCCGGGUCCACCGUCACCGCGAACCUGAGGAUGUGCAUGAGGCGCGGGAGCGGGGAGGCAGGAGUGGGGUGGAUGGGGGUGCAAACGUAAGUUACUCUGGUAUUCAGUGACCCUUGCCACUCCUACCACUCACAUGCACCCAUGCCCCCCUGGUGUUGUUUCUUGGGAUUGGGCAUAUACCCCCCUCCCCCAGGUUCCGGCCACUCCUCCUCCUCGCUCGGGCUGGCUGGUUCGGGUUCGAGUCUCUGUUUUUUUGCUUGGGUUUGGAGCAAACUACCCCCUCCCCCAAGACCACCAAGACCUUGCACCCAGGCCCUCCUAAAUAGUGCCGUGCCCCCGGGGAGGCGUGCUGUCGGUUGUCCCCUUGCCGCACUUGUUACGCCUGUCCCUCGUCGCAAGCAUCAUUCCUAGGGUACCGACCUACUGCGGGGAUUGCUCUGGGCGUGGCGUAUCCGCAACCUUCUGUGGGCGUCGCAACAACGCAUACCUGGGCUGCCGGCAUGCGUGGGAGCCGUUCGCGGCCCGCGGCCGGCGCACCCGUCCGCACCCCUCUCCGCACCUGUCACCACCCCGGCUGGGAAGUAACCGCCCAUGCGAUGCCCAUGCGAUGCCGAUGCCCCGCCUACUUCGGGCAAACCUCGCCCUUGCCCCCUCUCUUUGUUUCCCAGGCUCGCGCGCGCUAGACACUAGUUUGGCUUCGACCACUUGCACAUCCUUCCUGCAGUUGCUCACAAGUGUUGGCCCUCCCUCCCACAUGUCGCCUUCAUGCCGGCGCUUCCAACCUGGCACCGGUACCGCUCUGGUUCGUCACAGGUGGGUAUCGUUGCGGUUCGCGUGCAUUAGCUAGCGGGCUGGGUUCACCGCGCCGCGAGCCUGGGUGUUACUUAAUGGUAAGCGAGUUGGCGAUUUCCGGCCUACCGUCUACGGCCUACACCAUUCAGAUGCACGAGACUGAAGGGCGACCAAGAUAAAUGUUAACGCCACUCCUCCUCCUCGCUCGGGUUGGCUGGUUUUGGUUUGGGUCUCUGGUUUUUUGCUUGGGUUUGGAAUGAUCUACCCCCAUCCCCCCCUACACCUCCUGGUCAUAACGCAUCGGUAUGGUACCUACGUUCGCAACGCCUGUACUACGUCUCCUUCGUCCUAAUUAAUCAUGCAUGGAAACCCCCCCCCCACACACACACAUAUACACCCACCUGGCGUUGGACUGGGUGUACUCGUACGCGCAGUAGACCAGCGUGUCGUCCGGCAGCGGCGUCAGCUGGCUGAGCGAGGCCCACAUCUGCUGCGGGCUGCCCUCGAACAGCCGCCCGCAGCCCAGCGCGAACAGCGUGUCAGCGAGGCUCGCGCGCGCUCGCACACGCACCUCAGCUUGCGCUGCAUCGCGUCCGCCCACGCGCGCGCCUCCGCCAGCCGCCGCAGGUGCCACCGCCGCCGCAGCGCGCGCUGGAUGGUCCUCGCCGCCUGCUGCCGCCGGAUGGCGUCCAGCAGCGCGAUGUCCGCGCGCGUGAGCCCCAGCUGCCCCAGCCGCAGCAGCCGUCCCACCCAGCCGCCGGCACCCGCCUCCCAGGCGAGGAGCCGCCCCUGCCCCCGCCGCCGCCGCCACUCACAGCACUGGCGCUGGUCCCCGGCCGGCUAACCGCACCUGCCCCCGCCGCCGCUGCCACCCGGCCCAGGCCCCAACCCGAGGCCGGAGCCCACCAGGCCGCCCAGCGCCACGCCCGCCGCCACGUCAGCCAGCGUCAGGCCCGCCACCUCCGCCGCCUCCGUCAGACAGUCCAGGAAGAAGCGCUGGCCCUCGCCCACACUGGCCGCCAGCGGCUCCAGCGCGCCGGCGCCACCGCCCUCCUCCGCCGCGUGCGCGCGCAGGCCCUGCUCCAUCGGGCGGGCCAGCACGCACGUGUGAGCUGCUGCUUCAUCGUUGCUCACAUUCGAGCAGAGAGGGACUCGGAUAAUUGGGAUAGCUGGGAGGUGCGCGCAUGCGCUGGCGCGGCCGUGUGUGUUGUAUGGACACAAGCCCCCUCGACCUGCAACCGGCGCCAGCCUCGCCGUCACCAACCACCAGGAACCACUGCGAGUCCAACACCCCGCUUGGCGGCCUCACGUGCGUUGACCUCACCGCCAAAACCCACGCACGCGCACCUGCAUCAGCAGCGCCUGCAGCCGCCACAGGUGCCUGAAGCCACUGGACGGGUCCACAUCCCUGCCGCCGCCGCCGCCUCCACGCCCGCCGCCUCCUGCCCCUGCCCAGCCUGCUCCUGCCGCGCCGCUGCCUGCUCCAGUUGCGGUGCCGGCACCUCUUCGCUGCACCGAGCCAUCUGUCCCCGCACUCACUGCCGCCGCAGCUGCCGCCGCCGCCGCAGCAGCCACUGCAGCCGCUGCGCCCAAGCCACCCGCCGCCACCUCCUGUGGCCCACCGUGUAUUAGCAGUGGCCCGUCUUCAUCCGGCGCACUCCCUGGCCGCGAGCGGGUGCGGCCGGCACUCGCCGGCGGCCCACCGCCGCCACCUCUGUUACCGCUGCUGCUAGACAAAGACGAGGCCUGUGUCGAGUACGCCCGCUCCCGUGUAGCGUUCGUGCCGCCGGGCCCCGCCGGCCCUGCGUAGGCUGCGCCCUGACGGGCGCCGCCGACGCUGUUGCCGGUGCUGCAGGUGCUGGUGGUGGCUCGCAGCCCCCACACAGGCGACCCCCCAACCGCGGCGCCGCCACCGCUGCCGCUGCCGUCCGCUGCCGGCGGCGCUGCUGCUGCUGCUCUAUCAUCUGUUGGGCUGCGCCGUGGAGGCAAGGUGCGUUGCGUCAGCGGCCAGCAGCUGGCUGCUCCCAGCAGGCGGUUUAACCGCAGCUACCGGUAUCACCUCUGGCAGGCACCCAGUGCUCAGCAGGCGCCCCUGGUCGCCGUGCCCCGAACAGACUUGGCGCACAUACCGCAGCGCACAGCACUACCUCCCGUAUCCGGUGCGGCAGCCUCGCCAUGAGUACCGUAUACCCCACACCGAAUAGCCUCACCUCGGUCAGCGCAGCCACCUGGUCGGCCAGCAUUCGCCCAUCCGCAGAGCCGCCCGGCCCCGACCCAAGCCCCAGCAACCCUGCCAGAGACUGCGGGCCCAGUGAGUGCAGCAGUGCCGCCUCGCGCUGCCCGCGCCACUCCUCACGCAGCGCAGCCUCCCGCAUCAGCUGCGCCAGCGAGGCGGGCGGCAGGCAGGCGGCCUGCAUGGCGACCUGUGUGCGCGGCCGUGGAUGCACAGAACGUAUGGGACGUUGAGGAUCGGAAUAUGCCGCUAGCGUUGCGUCCUUUGAUAGCCGGGGCAUGCGUCAGGGCGGGGCUGGUAGGGACGGGCGCUCACGUUCUGCAGUAGGCGCAAGUCCUCCUGCCGACCCAUGCCCACGCGGAUGAUCUCAUGUAGGGCCAAGCGGUCCUGCGCCUUCUGAAGCGGUGGCGGUGCGGCCAUUCCCAAGCACCGCUGUGCGACAAAGUCAAGGUUCGUUCACAUGCAGGGAAUGUUAUUUUGGCACGCGGGUUGUUGCCAUAGUUGAAAUGGGGAUUAAUUCAAGCGUUUGGGUGUAUUGGUUGACAAUGCUUGCAAUUGCCAGUCAUGCAUUUGGCGAAAUUACAUGGGCGGAAGUUCUGAUCAUGGUUUGGUACGGGCGCUGUUACUUUUUGUUAAAGGACACGGUAGACACGUGUCUGUACCUGAAUCUGCAUUUGUGUGGAUGUGAAGGGGUACGAGUGCUAAUUUAUGGCAUAGUUGGGAAUUGCGAAGGGGUAUGUAAACGAUGUUUACAGGGAUAGAGGGGGAUGUGUCUCGGAUAGCCGGUUAGCGAUUAUAUCGACUAGGGCAUUCGUGCUUUAGUCGAGUCUAGACUGUCUAGACUCUAUUGAGUAAUUAGAGCAGCCUUGAAACACGCUAAAAGGCCCUUGGUCCAUUUACGUUGUCAGCCUGUAAAGCGUUGACACGUUGCUAAUAACACGGUAAACACGUUGUUGUACCUAAAAGUCUGUUUGUGUGAAUUUGAAGGGGUAAGAAUGCUAAUUUAACGUGUAGUUGGGAAUUGUGAAGGGGUAUGUAAACGAUGUUUACAGGGAUAGAAGGUGUUGUGUCGGGGGUAGUCGGUUAGGUGUGGAGGCGGGAACAGUUGAGGGCGCGGAGGACGCGUCAGGACUCUUUGGAGAGGAUGGGAGCCUGCCACAGGAGGGGCGAGAGUCCGCAUCGUGUCCCGGCUACCCACGUCGCCGCCCAUUACUUAGUACCUACGCGUGGAGCAGCUCCCAUGAGUUUUGGGAACCCCGAGCCAGGUGCUCUCUCGCUGCAUCACACAUCCCUCUGGUGCGCAACCCCGAACAAAAGCUGUCACGUGCGAGGCACAACAGUCGCUGAGGACCGUGUCAAAGCAGCGGUAUCCCACACGCACCGACGCAACAAACACAAGUAGCAGAAGCACGGCCCUGCGGCCGUCACGCCCCUUAACGUGCGUGGGAGGGCCGGUUGGACCCUGACUGUGGUUGGACGGCGCAGGCGGCAGGUUCCUGGCGCAUGGCUCCACGCCAGCGUCUUUACUGACUGCCCAGGCAGGCAGUGCGUGCAGCAUGCGUUGGCUGUUCUGGAGGACCAACCUGGCUUGUGGCCCAGGGCUCCCUGUCAUGGGAAUGUGCACAGAAGUUUCGGCAGCCCAUCCUGUAACCCACAGCAAUUGCCUCUCUCACCAGCCCCGAUUCCAAACCCAAUAACCCCUCGACCAGGAAAUGGUGGUGUUGAGAAACACCGAGUUUGUUGUUUUGGGGGUAUGGGUACACGAGGCCAGGCGUUUAGGCAGUCUCCUCGCCCUUGCCGCCCUUGGUCUUCUUGGGCAGCAGCACGGCGUGGAUGUUGGGCAGCACACCGCCCGACGCGAUGGUCACCUCGCCCAGCAGCUUGCCCAGCUCCUCAUCGUUGCGGAUGGCCAGCUGGAUGUGGCGGGGCACGAUGCGGUUCUUCUUGUUGUCGCGGGCGGCGUUGCCGGCCAGCUCCAGCACCUCAGCAGUCAGGUACUCCAGCACGGCGGCCAGGUACACGGGCGCGCCGGCACCGAUGCGCUCGGCGUACUUGCCCUUCUUCAGGUAGCGCGCAAUGCGGCCCACAGGGAACUGCAGGCCGGCCUUGGCGCUGCGGCUCACGGCCUUCUUGCCAGAGGUCUUGCCCUUGCCGCGACCAGCCAUCGUAUCGAGUGGGGGUGUUCUUGGAGAACGAGACAAGAGGGCUGUGAGUACGUGUUGAAAGCGUUGUAAGUUUGACCAUAGUGUCCCUUGUGCUUAUAUGCAGCUCGCCCAGAACCGAGGCGGCUCGGCCUGGCCACCGGUCAACGCGACGUGGCGGUUGGGUCAAACAACCGCUCGCCUCGCCCUGGCCACCCAUCGCGCUCUCAAAUAGCCUUCGCUUCCACUGCUGACUACCGCAAUACAGAACUCUCUUUCGCAGCUCGAUACCAGCAAUCAAUACCAUGGCCCCCAAGAAGGACGAGAAGCCCGUGACCGCCGAGGCUGGCGCCGAGGCCCCUGCCAAGGCUGAGGCCAAGCCCAAGGCCGAGAAGGCCGCCAAGAAGGCCAAGAAGGAGCCCUCCAAGAAGGCUGCUAAGGAGCCCAAGGGCGAUGGCGAGAAGAAGGACAAGAAGAAGAAGAAGAGCGCUGUGGAGACCUACAAGCUGUACAUCUACAAGGUGCUCAAGCAGGUGCACCCCGACACCGGCAUCAGCAGCAAGGCCAUGUCCAUCAUGAACAGCUUCAUCAACGACAUCUUUGAGAAGGUGGCCACCGAGGCCUCCAAGCUGAGUCGCUACAACAAGAAGCCCACUGUGACCUCCCGCGAGAUCCAGACCGCCGUGCGCCUGGUGCUGCCCGGCGAGCUGGCCAAGCACGCGGUGUCGGAGGGCACCAAGGCCGUGACUAAGUUCACCUCAGGCUAAACGCGCUCAGAGGCUGGACCAACUCCACAAUAAAAACUCGGUGUUUUUCAACACCACCAUGGCGCGGAGGAUGGGACUUGGGGAUUUGAGGGUUCGGGGCGGGUGGAAACUGCAAGGCAUACGGUAACCCUCCGGGGUUGGGUGGGGUGGGAUGAUACCGAGGGGCAACCAAUCAAGACGUACUCCUGGUUGUGGUGGGUUCCUGAACUAUCAUGCAUGCAUGCGGUGCCAGGGGAGCGGGUAGUAGAGGUCAGCAGCUGCACCGUGCGAGCUCCCAGCCUUCCGCUGUAAUCAGACCUGAAGGGUUUUGGUCUGUUGGGUGGAUGACGGUAGCCAUAUGCAACGGGUACGCCCCCGCGGCCUUGGCAGCACACUUGCCUACCUGCAUGGGCGGAUAGACCCGAAUGUGCACGGUUCGAUAGCCAGGGCCCCGAUGGGAGUCACGUUAGUCAUCUGAGGCUUUUGGGCAGCUAGCCUGGGGCCGUGGGCAUGUGUUGGCGGUGCACGGUGGCGAAGGUCCGGCGCGGUGCUUGGUGCAUUUCACGCGCGCGGCUGGCACGGGGCGUUGGGGUGUUGGAUGGGGGCAGGGCGGAAUGGUACUGGUUGGGGUGGGUUGGAGGGCGUGGGUGGAGGGGGCUGCAGCGCUGGGCACAGCAAGCCUGCUCCUUGUACUGGCGUCCUGAAGCGGUAAGCACGAGCAGGGCAAAAUACGAAAUGAGAGUGGGCUGGUCUGGCUGUGAUUGAGCAGGGCAACAUAUAAAUGUGUGGGGACGGACUUGUCGGCUCUGACGGCACUGACUAGGGCGCACUAUUCCUUAUGCCUGCUGCAUAGGCGGCUGACUACUCCGACUGCACAUGUGCGGUGCUGUAGGACUGAAGCCUGAAGGUCCGGUCCUGAGCCCACAUCCAUGUGCCCUAUGUGUGUCCAGAACCCACGCCCCCCUGAGACUCAUGCCAAACCCUCUUAACCGCUGCGCCACCAAUUCCGAAACGGUAAUCAACCACAUACUACCACAUGUGUCCCAGGCUUUGCACUGGCGCAUAUCGAGAACGCUUGUAAGACGAAGGCGGUAUUGCGUCAGGUGCAUGUGUGUGUAUUGGCGUUGCGCUGUUACGCAGUGGGCUAGUGGCACCGUCGCAUCGGAACCGGCACCAGCAGUGGGCUAGUGGCACCGGCACCAGUGGAUUUUUACGCUGGCACCGUCACACACUACAAACAUAUGAAGCAUUUAAUGCAGACGCCAAUAGACACCGUUGCUUGUGGAAGGUGGUGUUGAGAAACACCGAGUUUUGUUGGGGGAAGACCAGCCCAGGCGGCAGCACGCUUACGCGCGCUCGCCACGGAUGCGGCGGGCCAGCUGGAUGUCCUUGGGCAUGAUCGUGACACGCUUGGCGUGGAUGGCGCACAGGUUGGUGUCCUCGAACAGGCCCACCAGGUAGGCCUCGGCGGCCUCCUGCAGCGCCAGCACGGCCUGGCUCUGGAAGCGCAGGUCGGUCUUGAAGUCCUGGGCGAUCUCACGCACCAGGCGCUGGAACGGCAGCUUGCGGAUCAGCAGCUCAGUGGACUUCUGGUACUUGCGAAUCUCGCGCAGCGCCACGGUACCGGGGCGGUAGCGAUGAGGCUUCUUCACACCGCCGGUGGCGGGGGUCUUGCGAGCGGCCUUGGUGGCCAGCUGCUUGCGGGGCGCCUUGCCGCCGGUGGACUUGCGGGCAGUCUGCUUGGUGCGGGCCAUUUUUGCUGAGUGAUACUGUGUAAGGAAGUACUAAUAACAAUACUGCAGCUCCAGCUAUUUAUAUCACAGAGGCCGACCGAUGCAUGGGGCGCCGGACUGGCACAGCUGAGGCGGUGAAGUCAACGCCCGGUCAACGCGGCUCAGGCUGGCCAACGACCGGAAGUCGUUGCCCCAGCCCCCGACCCCAAUAAAAGGGCCCUGUAUUUCCUUAAACAGAUAUCUCACAGCUUCCUUCCUUCAUCUUACUUAACCAACUUAUUGACAAUGUCUGGACGCGGCAAGGGCGGCAAGGGCCUGGGCAAGGGCGGUGCCAAGCGCCACCGCAAGGUGCUUCGCGAUAACAUUCAGGGCAUCACUAAGCCCGCUAUUCGCCGUCUGGCUCGCCGUGGCGGUGUGAAGCGUAUCAGCGGCCUGAUCUACGAGGAGACUCGCACGGUGCUGAAGACCUUCCUGGAGAACGUCAUCCGCGACUCGGUCACCUACACCGAGCACGCUCGCCGCAAGACCGUGACGGCCAUGGACGUGGUGUACGCCCUGAAGCGCCAGGGCCGCACCCUGUACGGCUUCGGUGGUUAAGCGGCUUCUGUGCCGACUGCUGUGAGGGGAAACAAGGCACGUAUCCACGCUGGCUUGCCCCUCCCACCUGGCUGUCAACCUCUUCAUCCAAACUCGGUGUUUUUCAACACCACCAAACUCGUGCAACGGGUGUGCAGCGUGGGUGUGCAGGGCCGGUCAAACAUUGUGGUAUGGGUUGGAUUUGAAACGUGAUUACAACGCUUGUAGGACUCUUGGUAGGACUUGCACCCAAGGCCCUGCCGGGAAACGCAUACAUCGCGUGCCUGAUCGUCAGCGCAGCGCACUAGUGCCAACACCCUCCAUGAGGGGUCGUGCCCCCUGCAUACCAGACGCCAACUCAGCAUUUCAACAGCAUCCGUUGUGGCACACCAUUUACAACCGUACAGCUAUGGUAUACAUAACGCGCACACAGGUAUAACCGCACACCCCGAACCUUUGCAGGUGCAACAAUUGGCAAAAAUUUGUCAGUGCAGCCAAAUGCCCUGCGUGGAUUUCAGUGGCGGAUCCGGUCAGCCCCCAGGCCGGUUGAAGGGCGGGGCUGCGUCUAUCGGUCUAUCCAGGGCCGCAAAGCAGCACUGCUGCACGGACCCUGCCUGCUUCCGCUUUCCUGGUACCCCAACACCUAUGCUUGCGCACCCAGUCAGUCCGUUCAACAAAGAACAUGGUACAUUUAAAGACGAUCGCCCGUCCGCGCGCGCAAUCCUGUUACCCAUCCUGAUCCGCGCGAAACACGUUCCUUAAAGACUCGGCUGCAACCCGUGUCACACUAGCCACACUGUCACAAGCGACCACCUCGCCCGCCUCUACGCUCCCAACUUUCCAUGCUCAAGCAGCGUGCGCGCGCCCAUCACGGCCCCAUCACUCCGCCACCACGGCUCCAAGCAGCCCAGCCCACAGCAGCCCAGCUCACACCAGCGCUGCUCACAGCAGCCCCCAGCGAACCCGACCCCAGCCCCCAGCUCUUCUCCUUGCGGGAGUUGCUGCGCUACUGUUUCCCUACGGGAUUGGUUUCAGAGUUAGGCCCCCGCUCACAGCUCGGCCUUGGGCCAGGAGCCACCCGACAGACGCGCCAGUGUGAGCGCCAGCACGCUGACGCCGUUGGCGAUGUCGGAGGCGCUGCUGAACUCGUCGGGGCGGUGGCUCCAGCCGUUCUUGCAUGGGAUGAAGAUCAUGCCAGUGGGGGCGAUGCUGUAGACGUGGGGCGUGUGGGGAUGUGGGAUGGGGUGGGAUGGGGUGGGUUGGGGGUUGCGAGGUCAAAACAUUGGAAGCAGUGGGGUGGGGGUGGGGGAAGGGUGAGACGGUGAGCAGGCUUGAGGCGGAGCGGGGACAGCGCUGCACACGACACGCGGACGCGGCCGCCACCUCACCGCAUGUACGGCAUGACUCCCCGCAUGAUACUUUUAGUCCUCACGCACAUGCUGAAAACACACACACACACACACACACACACACACACACACACACACACUCCGCUCCCCCCCCUCCCCGGUUUCGGGUUUAGUUUGGGCUGGUAUCCAACCCCCGCCCCGGGCGGAAGCUGGGCUCUGGCAGAUACCCCUCGAUCCCCCCUCAACCCACAUUUCCCUCCCCCCGGGUUUGGUUACGGUAGUUUGGACUGGUAUCUACAACCCCCCCCCCCCCGCCGCCGCCUGGUGCCGCUGCCACGCUCACGCACCGGGCCAUGAACAGGGAGUCGUGGUAGGCGCGCGACACCAUGUGCUUGGUGCGCAGGCCCAGGGCGCCGGCUGCGGCCGCCACCGCCUCCACCACGUCAGAGUGGCAGGUGGCGGGCGGGUCCUGGUUGAUGACGCGGCUGCUCAUGCGCACCUGCAGGCGUGGCGGUGGGUGGGUGUGGGUGGGGACACGGGGUGAGCCCGUGAGGGGAUGGCAAGUCGCGGUGAUAGGCGGAUGGGUUAUGGGGGGGGGAGAGGGGGGGUUGCAUUCAUGAUUACGAAGAAGUGAAGGCGUGGCCAGGUAGGAAGCGCGAGCAGCCUGUGGGGCAAUCACACUGGCAGCUGCGCGCGGACGCGGAGCAGCCGCGGAGCCCAUCAACCGCAGCCCCGCACGAAGGUUUCAACGCCAACCAACCAACCAACCAACCCACCAACCGCUCGACCAACCAACCCCUUCUCCAACUGCCUCACAUUGCGUUUGUCCGCGAUCUCCUCCGCGCUCUUCAGGACCACCGCCACCACUUGGUCGCGCCGGGGGCCGUCAAUGUCGCGGAUGUCUGCGAGGGCAUAGAGGACAAACACGCCGGUCACGGUCAGGAUCACAAUUCCGGUAACAUGCCAGAGAUCUACGAUACACGUAGCCAGCUGACACGCCCUUCAGGCCCUCACCCUUACAACUCCUGCUCCCUUACGCUUCCGGCAUGCCCACUUCCGCCUUCCCAUUUCUGGCCCGCCGCACAAGCCCCCUUCCCCCACCCUCUCCAUGGGAAACAGACCCAAGUGUCGACAACCUCCACCGCCACGCCCCACCACCACCACUCAACGCACCAAUGGCCAAGCGCGCCUCGCGAGGCACCGAGUUGAUGGCCCCGGGCGCGAUUUCAAAGGUGCCGGUGGUGCCCACCGUGUCCACACUGCCCGUGGCCAGCACGUGACGCUCCACCGCCAGCGCCAGCUCGGCACCCGCCAGGCCCGCGUCGUUCCUGGGUGGUGGGGCAAGGGGAAGGGGAGGGGGCGGGAGGGAAAGGGGAAGGGGCAGGCGGGUGAUGGACGGUGAUGAGGAGGGUUUGUGUGCAGGGUCUGCACACGCACACACAGGAAGAGCCACACUGUAAAGACGUUAUGUCUGUGUGACCGCCCUUUCCAAGUUCAUCCUUACUACACACACAAAUACACGCACACACACACCGGGUUGUCCGGAUACACGACCACGUGAUCUGAUAAACAACUGUAAACCGUUGUUACACACACACACACACACACACACACACACACACACACACACACACACACACACACACACGUAUCUCCCUCCCCCACCUGUCCGGCAUGAGCUGUCCGCCCGCGUGGCCGCCGUCCCCCACGAACUGCACCUCCAGGGCGGCUGGCGCGGCGAUGGCGGUGACCACCCCGAUGUCCAGCCCCUCGCGCUCCAGCAGAGGGCCUGGCGGGCGUGUGUGUGCAUGUGUGUGUGUGGUGGGGGGGUGGGUGGGUGGGUUGCAAGGACUGGUAUAGAGAAGUGUAGCGAAGACGAGAGCAGGCGUGGGGGUGAUCCCGGUGCGGGGAGUGAGGGAAAGGCCACGAGAAGCAAACAAAGAGUGAGCUGGGAAGGCGCGUGCGUGUGUGUUCGUAGGAGGGUGGGCGGGGUCCAGGUGUGGGGAGGGGAAUGAGGGCACAGGCGCACAGCCGUUGUGUUCUGGCAGUGAAACGCGGCCGCCGCAUGCAUGUCAAGGCAUCCCAUGGCCGUGUGCUGAUUCCCGUAACCCCAGCUACCCGCACUCAUCUCCGUACGCCCCACGACGGCCCCCUCACGCCGCCUUCCCCCACCCUCUACUCCACUCCCCGUGUCCACUCCCCCCCUGCCCCUCUUUUCCUUCCCCUCACCCUGCUCGAUGUGCAGCUCCACGAAGUGCGACACGGCGCCCUCCGCCACCCGCGUGGCAGCCAGCAUGUCCUGCGUGCUCACACCGCCAUAGCCCACCUCGUUGGCCACCUGCACGGGAGGGGGACGUGGCGAGGGGUUUGGACUUUGGAGAUUG